GGUGUGAGUAUUGCUUAUGAAGUACAGUCACAUCAAAGAAGAGAGUUUGGACUUUGUACCAACACCAGUUCCACUUUAUGAUCAGGCUCAGCACAGGAGUUUACUUGUUAGAGAAAGCCAAGAGUGCACAGUCGUAGCACUGUGGGGCGGAUCUGAAUUUGACACAGAAUUGAGGAUAUUUGUAUAUCUUCGGGUCAUAUACAAUACAUGUGAGGAUUAAAAAUGUAUUUCGUCGUAGUUCUGCUCUUGUUUGGGACACUUUCAACAGUGAACAGUGAGACAUGGUCGCUGAGUUACGUCUACACUGCCCUAUCAAAACCAGUACAAUUGCCUGGUAUCCAUGAAUUCACUGCCAUGGGUCUGAUGAAUGACAAACAGAUUGACUACUAUGACAGUGUGGCAAAGAAGAAGAUUCCCAAACAGGACUGGAUGAGAGACAAGCUGCCAGCAGACUACUGGGAAAAAGGCACCCAGUCACGCAAGAGCAAGGAACAGUGGUUCAAAGUCAAUGUCAACAUCCUGAUGGACCGUAUGAGGCACAACGACACUGAUGUCCAUAUCCUUCAGUGGAAGCAUGGCUGUAAGGUUGCCAAACAGAGUGACGGCACAUUGAAAUUCAUAAAGGGCACUGACCAAUACAGCUACGAUGGUGACGACUUCCUGGCCUUUGAUGAUGCCACUAUGCAGUGGGUGGCCCCAGUCGUUCAAGCUGAGCCGACUAAGAGGAAGUGGGACGGGGUGCAGAUCCUCAACCAGUACACCAAGGGCUACCUGGAGAAGGAGUGUGUGGACUGGCUGUCCAAAUUCAUGGAAUAUGGGGACAAAUAUUUCAGUAGAGCUGACUCCCCUCCAAAGGUCCAUGCUUUUGCUAAAAAAGCCAAAAUUGCAGGACAUAUCCGACUGACUUGCAUGGCCACAGGUUUCCUUCCCAAAGAUGUGGUAAUGCAUAUUAAGAAGAAUGGGGUCCAAUUGACGAAACAUGAUGGAGUGCAGUCUGACGGAGUCUUACCCAAUGAUGACGACACCUACCAGAUCAGGAUGAGUGUGCAGAUUCCAGAGGAUGACAAGGAAACAUAUGAAUGUUAUGUCAACCAUGCAAUGUUGAAGGAGCCAGAUGUGGUCAAAUGGGAUGGAAAAUGCUAUGAUUGUAGCCAAGUCACAGUUGUUAUCAUUGGUGCUGUUGUUGGUGUUGUGGUCCUCCUGUUAACCGUGGUUAUCACACUGUUUGCUCUUUGGAAGAAAGGCAAAAUAUGUGCUGGUAAAACAGGAGCUCUACCACUUACUGGGAUCCAGGCACCUCUAAAUGUGACAAAGGAUGACGCUUAGCAGCACUUCCAGUGACUCUGGUCAAGGCAGCAAUGCAUGUCUAGAGAGGGAGCCAAUCCUGACAAAUGGAGCCACUGGGAGUGACUGACAACGCAUUCAAAUCCAGCAAAGAACGCGUGGUUUUGUUUUGUUAAUCAACAAAUACUGUCAAUCUAAAUGUGGUAAUUCCCAAGCAGAUCGGCUUGGAUAUGAAAUAGUUAUUUAUUAACAUUUGGAUAUUUUGAAUAUCGUAGUGUAAUUCCUUGUUUUAAUAAAAUUUAUCAAAUUAUUUUUCAACAAAUGGAUUGGUAAAUCGCCAAUAUGUUGGACAUUUUAAUUUAUUGGUAUUGGAACCAUUAGUCUAUUUCUAUUUUAAACUAGAGACCAAUCAUUUCAAUCUUUGCACACACAGAAACACACACACACACACACACUGAACUGCUUUUUAAAUAUGUUUUGUUUUUGUUUUUUAUGGAAAGUAUAAUAAAUUAUUAAUUAAUAAAGGACAGCUUUGAUUAACCAA
RNA transcript from Coregonus clupeaformis (lake whitefish), 1828 nucleotides. It is a transcript of the gene named major histocompatibility complex class I-related gene protein, with no coding region annotated. NCBI's taxonomy places the organism in Eukaryota, Metazoa, Chordata, Actinopteri, Salmoniformes, Salmonidae. The record is from RefSeq and is a predicted model, not a curated record. The transcript is spliced from 9 exons.